RNAcentral lists this ribosomal RNA (253 nucleotides) under uncultured bacterium. RNAcentral's name for it is "partial 16S ribosomal RNA". It matches the Rfam family "Bacterial small subunit ribosomal RNA", at positions 524 to 776 of the family's 1533-position model. The record is from RNAcentral.
UACAGAGGGGGCGAGCGUUGUUCGGAAUUACUGGGCGUAAAGGGCGCGUAGGCGGCCUGCUAAGUCGAACGUGAAAUCCCUGGGCUCAACCCAGGAACUGCGUCCGAUACUGGAAGGCUUGAAUCCGGGAGAGGGAUGCGGAAUUCCAGGUGUAGCGGUGAAAUGCGUAGAUAUCUGGAGGAACACCGGUGGCGAAGGCGGCAUCCUGGACCGGUAUUGACGCUGAGGCGCGAAAGCCAGGGGAGCAAACGGG